Long non-coding RNA from Bufo bufo (common toad), 123 nucleotides. RefSeq lists it as uncharacterized. The transcript has 3 exons. Lineage: Eukaryota; Metazoa; Chordata; Amphibia; Anura; Bufonidae. The record is from RefSeq and is a predicted model, not a curated record.
ACACUAGAGGUAGGUGACACUAUAGAUAGGUGACACAAGAGGUAGGUGACACUAGAGGUAGGUGACACUAUAGAUAGGUGACACUAGAGGUAGGUGACACUAUAGAUAGGUGACACUAGAGAU